RNAcentral lists this ribosomal RNA (253 nucleotides) under uncultured bacterium. RNAcentral's name for it is "partial 16S ribosomal RNA". It matches the Rfam family "Bacterial small subunit ribosomal RNA", at positions 524 to 776 of the family's 1533-position model. The record is from RNAcentral.
UACGUAGGGUGCGAGCGUUAAUCGGAAUUACUGGGCGUAAAGCGUGCGCAGGCGGUUUUGUAAGCCAGAUGGGAAAGCCCCGGGCUCAACCUGGGAACAGCGCUUGAGACUGGCACGCUCGAGUUCGGGAGAGGAUGGUGGAAUUCCCAGUGUAGAGGUGAAAUUCGUAGAUAUUGGGAAGAACACCGAUGGCGAAGGCAGCCAUCUGGACCGACACUGACGCUGAGGCGCGAAAGCGUGGGGAGCAAACAGG